GACGAACGCUGGCGGCGUGCUUAACACAUGCAAGUCGAACGGAAAGGCCCUGCUUUUGUGGGGUGCUCGAGUGGCGAACGGGUGAGUAACACGUGAGUAACCUGCCCUUGACGUUGGGAUAACUUCAGGAAACUGGGGCUAAUACCGGAUAGGAGCUCCUGCUGCAUGGUGGGGGUUGGAAAGUUUCGGCGGUUGGGGAUGGACUCGCGGCUUAUCAGCUUGUUGGUGGGGUAGUGGCUUACCAAGGCUUUGACGGGUAGCCGGCCUGAGAGGGUGACCGGCCACAUUGGGACUGAGAUACGGCCCAGACUCCUACGGGAGGCAGCAGUGGGGAAUAUUGCACAAUGGGCGGAAGCCUGAUGCAGCAACGCCGCGUGCGGGAUGACGGCCUUCGGGUUGUAAACCGCUUUCGCCUGUGACGAAGCGUGAGUGACGGUAAUGGGUAAAGAAGCACCGGCUAAUUACGUG
This 468-nucleotide ribosomal RNA is filed under the name uncultured bacterium. RNAcentral describes it as "partial 16S ribosomal RNA". It matches the Rfam family "Bacterial small subunit ribosomal RNA", at positions 28 to 507 of the family's 1533-position model. The record is from RNAcentral.